This 253-nucleotide ribosomal RNA is filed under the name uncultured bacterium. Its description in RNAcentral is "partial 16S ribosomal RNA". It matches the Rfam family "Bacterial small subunit ribosomal RNA", at positions 524 to 776 of the family's 1533-position model. The record is from RNAcentral.
UACGAGUGCCUCAAGCGUUAUCCGGAAUCAUUGGGCGUAAAGGAUGUGUAGGUGGUCUUGUUAGUCUCUUGUUAAAUUCUUCGGCUCAACCGGGGGCAUGCAAGGGAAACGGCAAGACUAGAGGAUGCAAGGGGUUACUGGAACUCUAGGUGUAGCGGUGUAAUGCGUUGAUAUCUAGGGGAACACCAAAAGCGAAGGCAAGUAACUGGGGCAUUCCUGACACUGAGACAUGAAAGCGUGGGUCGCGAAAGGG